Molecule: long non-coding RNA, 113 nt
Organism: Sander lucioperca (pikeperch)
Lineage: Eukaryota; Metazoa; Chordata; Actinopteri; Perciformes; Percidae
Exons: 3
Source: RefSeq, a predicted model, not a curated record
UCCAUGCAAGAAGAAUUUGUAAAAAUUUGGAACUUACCUCUCACUUUAUCUGCACAGUUUUUUUUAAAGGAAGAGGUGAAAUGCGCCUGAAUCCGUAGUUAUACUAUCUACUG